RNAcentral lists this ribosomal RNA (253 nucleotides) under uncultured bacterium. RNAcentral describes it as "partial 16S ribosomal RNA". It matches the Rfam family "Bacterial small subunit ribosomal RNA", at positions 524 to 776 of the family's 1533-position model. The record is from RNAcentral.
UACGGAGGGUGCAAGCGUUAUCCGGAUUUACUGGGCUUAAAGGGUGCGUAGGUGGGCAGGUAAGUCAGUGGUGAAAUCUUCGAGCUUAACUCGGAAACUGCCAUUGAUACUAUCUGUCUUGAAUUAUCUGGAGGUAAGCGGAAUAUGUCAUGUAGCGGUGAAAUGCUUAGAUAUGACAUAGAACACCCAUUGCGAAGGCAGCUUACUACGGAUCGAUUGACACUGAGGCACGAAAGCGUGGGGAUCAAACAGG